RNAcentral lists this ribosomal RNA (506 nucleotides) under uncultured bacterium. RNAcentral describes it as "partial 16S ribosomal RNA". It matches the Rfam family "Bacterial small subunit ribosomal RNA", at positions 29 to 523 of the family's 1533-position model. The record is from RNAcentral.
AGUGAACGCUGGCGGUAGGCCUAACACAUGCAAGUCGAACGGCAGCACAGAGGAGCUUGCUCCUUGGGUGGCGAGUGGCGGACGGGUGAGGAAUACAUCGGAAUCUACUCUGUCGCGGGGGAUAACGUAGGGAAACUUACGCUAAAACCGCAUACGACCUACGGGUGAAAGCAGGGGAUCUUCGGACCUUGCGCGAUUGAAUGAGCCGAUGUCGGACUAGCUAGUUGGCGGGGUAAAGGCCCACCAAGGCGACGAUCCGUAGCUGGUCUGAGAGGAAGGACAGCCAGACUGGAACUGAGACACGGUCCAGACUCCUACGGGAGGCAGCAGUGGGGAAUAUUGGACGAUGGGCGCAAGCCUGAUCCAGCCAUACCGCGUGGGUGAAGAAGGCCUUCGGGUUGUAGAGCCCUUUUGUUGGGAAAGAAAUCCGUCUGGUUAAGACCCGGGUGGGAUGACGGUACCCAAAGAACAAGCACCGGCUAACUUCGUGCCAGCCGCCGCCGUAA